Molecule: non-coding RNA, 24 nt
Filed under: Bos taurus (domestic cattle)
Lineage: Eukaryota; Metazoa; Chordata; Mammalia; Artiodactyla; Bovidae
Also listed under: 3 other names
Source: RNAcentral
CAGUUGGUAGAGCGGAGGACUGUA